This 667-nucleotide long non-coding RNA is filed under the name Androctonus crassicauda. Lineage: Eukaryota; Metazoa; Arthropoda; Arachnida; Scorpiones; Buthidae. The record is from RNAcentral.
GUAACUGUGAUAUUCUUGGGUUUAUAGCAGUAUAUUGGUGUUGUGUUAGUGAAAGCUGAGCCGGCAAAUGGAGGAUAGGAAGAAAAAGAUCGUAAAUUUGGCGUUGAAGAAAGUAAGAGCAGAGGAGACGUUUGUGUUUCUAAAGGAAUGUAAGAUUAACAAUGUCUUACCGACAUCUCUUUAUAAGAUGAAGUUACCAAUUAAGUCUAAAAAGCUUAUGUGGAAGAUAAGGCAGAUUUGCUUAAAUGCGGCUUAUACAGAUGCAAAGAGGACUUUCUAUAAGAGAAAAAUAUCCCUGCAGAAAACGAGAAUGAAAUGUGAGCAGGAGCAAGAAUGGGACUUAGAUUGAUGGAUGCACGAAUGGAGUCAUUGAAAACUAAAUUAAGGAGAAAACACAUUGGAAAAUUUAAAUGAAUUUUGAACAUGCAGCUGCCCAGACGAAAGAAAGAUGGUUUUAAGCUAAAUGAAGUUUUAACGGUGAUUGGUGAUAUAAGCAUACUGGAUUAUGCUAAGAAUGUCUUUGAAAAAGGCCCUUCGUAUGCUCUGCCGAAAUGUUUGAGCUUUAAGGAGGAUAUCCCGGUAAUAGAAAACCUUAUAAGUGAUUUUAAUGAACUGGAAAAGGAGAGCAUCCGCUGGAAAUAUGUAAGAAAAAGAACAGGAUCUCGGG